GACGAACGCUGGCGGCGUGCUUAACACAUGCGAGUCGAACGGAAAGGCCCUGCUUUUGUGGGGUGCUCGAGUGGCGAACGGGUGAGUAACACGUGAGUAACCUGCCCUUGACUUUGGGAUAACUUCAGGAAACUGGGGCUAAUACCGGAUAGGAGCUCCUGCUGCAUGGUGGGGGUUGGAAAGUUUCGGCGGUUGGGGAUGGACUCGCGGCUUAUCAGCUUGUUGGUGGGGUAGUGGCUUACCAAGGCUUUGACGGGUAGCCGGCCUGAGAGGGUGACCGGCCACAUUGGACUGAGAUACGGCCCAGACUCCUACGGGAGGCAGCAGUGGGGAAUAUUGCACAAUGGGCGGAAGCCUGAUGCAGCAACGCCGCGUGCGGGAUGACGGCCUUCGGGUUGUAAACCGCUUUCGCCUGUGACGAAGCGUGAGUGACGGUAAUGGGUAAAGAAGCACCGGCUAACUACGUG
Molecule: ribosomal RNA, 467 nt
Filed under: uncultured bacterium
Lineage: Bacteria
Description: partial 16S ribosomal RNA
Rfam family: Bacterial small subunit ribosomal RNA
Source: RNAcentral